UACGAAGGGGGCUAGCGUUGCUCGGAAUCACUGGGCGUAAAGCGCACGUAGGCGGAUUCUUAAGUCGGUGGUGAAAUCCAGGAGCUCAACUCCAGAACUGCCUUCGAUACUGAGAGUCUUGAGUUCGGGAGAGGUGAGUGGAACUGCGAGUGUAGAGGUGAAAUUCGUAGAUAUUCGCAAGAACACCAGUGGCGAAGGCGGCUCACUGGCCCGAUACUGACGCUGAGGUGCGAAAGCGUGGGGAGCAAACAGG
Molecule: ribosomal RNA, 253 nt
Filed under: uncultured bacterium
Lineage: Bacteria
Description: partial 16S ribosomal RNA
Rfam family: Bacterial small subunit ribosomal RNA
Source: RNAcentral